AAUGGAGCCUUGCCAAAAAUGAUUAAAGUCCGAGAAAGCAUAACAGUUCCAGAGCUGCAGCCGUGCUUUAGGAGUCCUGAGUUUGACAUGGUGUCAAACAAACGCACUGGAUAGGAGAAGGAAGGGAGGAGAGUAAACAAGACCGGAAAAAAGAGAAGAGAGAUGAAUGCUGAUUUGGCUACUUGGGGAUCUAGUUUGUGAAGUUUCUCAGUGGAUCUGAGGACCACAGUGUUUGGAAACCACAGGUGUGGAUAGAGGAAAAGUAUUCAGAAAAGCCAAAGAAUUGAUGCUUUUGAACAGUGGUGCUGGAAAAGACUCUGGAGAGUCUCUUGGACUGCAAGAAGAUUCUAUCAGUCCAUCCUAAAGGAAAUCAGUCCUAAAUAUUCAUUGGAAGGACUGAUGCUGAAGCUGAAACUCCUGUACUUUGGCCACCUGAUGUAAAGAACUGACUCACUGGAAAAAACCCUGAUGCUGGGAAACACUGAAGGCAGGAGGAGAAGGGGACAACAGAGGAUGAGAUGGUUGGAUGGCAUCACUGACUCAAUGGAUAUCAGUUUGA
RNAcentral lists this long non-coding RNA (559 nucleotides) under Bos indicus x Bos taurus (hybrid cattle). RNAcentral describes it as "lncRNA (ENSBIXG00000026457.1)". Lineage: Eukaryota; Metazoa; Chordata; Mammalia; Artiodactyla; Bovidae. The record is from RNAcentral.